Molecule: ribosomal RNA, 500 nt
Filed under: uncultured bacterium
Lineage: Bacteria
Description: partial 16S ribosomal RNA
Rfam family: Bacterial small subunit ribosomal RNA
Source: RNAcentral
AUUGAACGCUGGCGGCAGGCCUAACACAUGCAAGUCGAGCGGAUGACGGGAGCUUGCUCCUUGAUUCAGCGGCGGACGGGUGAGUAAUGCCUAGGAAUCUGCCUGGUAGUGGGGGACAACGUUUCGAAAGGAACGCUAAUACCGCAUACGUCCUACGGGAGAAAGCAGGGGACCUUCGGGCCUUGCGCUAUCAGAUGAGCCUAGGUCGGAUUAGCUAGUUGGUGAGGUAAUGGCUCACCAAGGCGACGAUCCGUAACUGGUCUGAGAGGAUGAUCAGUCACACUGGAACUGGGACACGGUCCAGACUCCUACGGGAGGCAGCAGUGGGGAAUAUUGGACAAUGGGCGAAAGCCUGAUCCAGCCAUGCCGCGUGUGUGAAGAAGGUCUUCGGAUUGUAAAGCACUUUAAGUUGGGAGGAAGGGCAGUAAGUUAAUACCUUGCUGUUUUGACGUUACCGACAGAAUAAGCACCGGCUAACUCUGUGCCAGCCGCCGCAGUAA